RNAcentral lists this unclassified non-coding RNA (584 nucleotides) under Hevea brasiliensis (rubber tree). Lineage: Eukaryota; Viridiplantae; Streptophyta; Magnoliopsida; Malpighiales; Euphorbiaceae. The record is from RNAcentral.
CAACAGCGAGAAGGAAAGAGAGCAAGCUGGUAUAUAUGAUGCUUGUGGAUGCCUGUGGAUGUAUUUAGCUGGACUAAGGACAUCUGAAGGAAGCUCUCAUGCGCAUUACAACCUAUUCUAUGACCCACUGAAACAUAAUGGUCCUAUACUUCCACCAGCAGCAGCUUUAGCUCCAACUGUGUGGCCUCAGUUUCACCUUCGUUGGGCUUGCCCCUCAGAGGCGCAAGGUGGGGAAGUUGAAGCUGAAUGCAGGAAGCUGACGAGAAAAUUCUCUGAGCUGCAAAGGGCCAAAGAACUAGCAGAAACAAGACUUAACGAAGCAAGUGUCUCCGUGGAGUCCUUAGUUACAGAACUGAGAAAUGAGAAACUUGCAAGCACCUCUGCCAGGGAUGCGGUAAAAAGAGCAAGCAAAGAAACUGCUACUAUAAAGCGUGCAGUACAAUCUUUGGGGUUCAAUGUCUACUUUACAGCAGAUGGAGACUGUAAUGUAGGCAUUGAAAGGAACCCAACCGAAAUCCCUCAGCGAUCUAUCUGCUCAGUUUUUACAAAAGAUAUUAAUGGCACAGUGUCCCACAGUGAGAAAG